Molecule: ribosomal RNA, 429 nt
Filed under: Bacillota bacterium
Lineage: Bacteria; Bacillati; Bacillota
Description: Firmicutes bacterium partial 16S ribosomal RNA
Rfam family: Bacterial small subunit ribosomal RNA
Source: RNAcentral
UGGGGAAUAUUGGACAAUGGGCGCAAGCCUGAUCCAGCCAUGCCGCGUGUGUGAAGAAGGCCUUCGGGUUGUAAAGCACUUUUGUUGGGGAAGAAAUUGUACGGGUGAAUAUCCCGUGCGGAUGACGGUACCCAAAGAAUAAGCACCGGCUAACUUCGUGCCAGCAGCCGCGGUAAUACGAAGGGUGCAAGCGUUACUCGGAAUUACUGGGCGUAAAGCGUGCGUAGGCGGUUUGUUAAGUCCGUUGUGAAAGCCCUGGGCUCAACCUGGGAAUUGCAGUGGAUACUGGCAAGCUAGAGUACGGUAGAGGAUGGUGGAAUUCCCGGUGUAGCGGUGAAAUGCGUAGAGAUCGGGAGGAACACCCGUGGCGAAGGCGGCCAUCUGGACCAGUACUGACGCGGAGGCACGAAAGCGUGGGGAGCAAACAGG